This 125-nucleotide ribosomal RNA is filed under the name Helianthus annuus (common sunflower). The record is from RNAcentral. Lineage: Eukaryota; Viridiplantae; Streptophyta; Magnoliopsida; Asterales; Asteraceae.
GUUUGUGAAUAUAUAGAAUCACCGGGGUAAUCCCUUUACCCAAAAAAAACUCCGCAGUUAAGCGUGCUUGGGCGAGAGUAGGACUAGGAUGGGUGACCCCCUGGGAAGUCCUCGUGUUGCAACCC